GAUGAAGAACGUAGCGAAAUGCGAUACGUAAUGUGAAUUGCAGAAUUCAGUGAAUCAUCGAAUCUUUGAACGCACAUUGCACUCUCUGGUAUUCCGGAGAGUAUGCUUGUUUGAGUAUCAGUAAACACCUCAAAUCUCUUGUUUCUUGUGAAUAAGAGAAUUGGACUUGAGCAAUCCCAACUCUUGCAAAAGAGGCGGGUUGCUUGAAAUGCAGGUGCAGCUGGACAUUCUUCUGAGCUAAAAGCAUAUUUAUUUAGUCCCGUAAAACGGAUUAUUACUUUUGCUGCAGCUAACAUAAAGGUUGAAUGGCCAAUAUGGCUGACUGAUGCAGGAUUAACAGAGUAUUUAUUCUUUGUAAACUCGAUCUCAAAUCAAGUAAGACUACCCGCUGAACUUAAGCAUAUCAAUAAGCGGAGGA
RNAcentral lists this unclassified non-coding RNA (418 nucleotides) under soil metagenome. RNAcentral describes it as "partial contains 5.8S ribosomal RNA, internal transcribed spacer 2, and large subunit ribosomal RNA". The stretch from base 1 to 120 matches the Rfam family "5.8S ribosomal RNA", at positions 35 to 154 of the family's 154-position model. The record is from RNAcentral.